Molecule: transfer RNA, 74 nt
Filed under: Halococcoides cellulosivorans
Lineage: Archaea; Methanobacteriati; Methanobacteriota; Halobacteria; Halobacteriales; Haloarculaceae
Rfam family: tRNA
About the family: Transfer RNA (tRNA) molecules are approximately 80 nucleotides in length. Their secondary structure includes four short double-helical elements and three loops (D, anti-codon, and T loops).
Source: Rfam by way of RNAcentral
GUCGCGGUGGCAGAGUGGUCGAACGCGUCCGCCUGCAGAGUGGAGUAUCGUCGGUUCGAAUCCGACCCGCGACU